GGAGGGGCGAGCGGCCGAGGAACCGGGGCCCGGCGGCUUUGUUUACGGCUCAGGGACAGACCCAGGCGACCAUCCCGGCCCCGGCUCUCGCGGGGGUCGAGGAGCCCCGGAGCCCAGGCGGCGGGACUUCCCGUCUCCACCGCAGCGCCCCUCCCACCUCGGCCCGGCCCCUUCCCGCCCAGGUCCCGGACUCACGAUGCACUCGCGGACCCUGUCGUGGAACAGCUGCUCUCGCACGGAUAGCACUUCGUAGUCAGCCGCUUCCAUACUCUGCUCAGCAUGACUGGGGCGGGGGUGUCUCCGGGCCCGGGGAGGACGAGCGGGGAGGAGGCCGCCGCCGCCGCCGCCCGCCAAGCACCCGGACCCAGCCCAAGAGCCUCUCCUCGCUGCCCGUGACGGAAACUCAAGGCACAUUCGUGGCACUCUGAAGUCUGGAGGUCAGAGAACAACUUCCAGGAAUGGCUCCCUCCUUCAGUCUUGUGGGUCUUGGGACUCAUGCUCAAGUCUAAAGCCGCAUCACCAGACAAGUGCAAGAGUGCCUGCUUGGGGGCUGGAGAGAUGGCUCAGCAGUU
Molecule: long non-coding RNA, 572 nt
Organism: Mastomys coucha (southern multimammate mouse)
Lineage: Eukaryota; Metazoa; Chordata; Mammalia; Rodentia; Muridae
Exons: 3
Source: RefSeq, a predicted model, not a curated record